UACGUAGGGCGCAAGCGUUGUCCGGAAUUAUUGGGCGUAAAGAGCUCGUAGGCGGUCUGUCGCGUCGGCUGUGAAAACCCGAGGCUCAACCUCGGGCCUGCAGUCGAUACGGGCAGACUAGAGUGCUGUAGGGGAGACUGGAAUUCCUGGUGUAGCGGUGAAAUGCGCAGAUAUCAGGAGGAACACCGGUGGCGAAGGCGGGUCUCUGGGCUGACACUGACGCUCAUGCACGAAAGCGUGGGGAGCAAACAGG
This 253-nucleotide ribosomal RNA is filed under the name uncultured bacterium. Its description in RNAcentral is "partial 16S ribosomal RNA". It matches the Rfam family "Bacterial small subunit ribosomal RNA", at positions 524 to 776 of the family's 1533-position model. The record is from RNAcentral.